RNAcentral lists this long non-coding RNA (5975 nucleotides) under Marmota monax (woodchuck). Lineage: Eukaryota; Metazoa; Chordata; Mammalia; Rodentia; Sciuridae. The record is from RNAcentral.
GUUCUUCUUCAAUUUCUUUCUUUAGUUGUGUAGUUUUAUUGUAGAAGUCUUUCACCUCUUUUGUUAAAUUGUGAAUCUUUGUUCUUACCUCAUGGCUAAGUUGUACUACACAGACCUAAUAAGCUCUCAUGGAUAUCUCCAUAUAAAUGUUCAUGUAUUCUUUCAAGACCCAUGGUAACCCAAGAUAAAUCCUCUAAAUCUAUGCCAAUGCACAAUUUAAAACAUAUUCCUUGCAUGACGAUUAUCUGCCAGACCAUUUUCCUUGAAUAUACUGAUGGGAAAAAAUGUUCUUCAUGAAAAGCUGCCAAGCAGCACGUGAAUUCACCCAGGUAAUUUUGUGUACUUUUUGGAAAAUAGGAGCAAUUAGGGGUAAGAUACAUUCAAUCAGCAAGGAAUUGGUUGAUUAUCAUGAUAGAAAUCUCCUUAGGAGAAUAAAAAAGUCAGAGUAGAUAAUUACAAUUAAAAAUCCACAUAGAAGCAUGUAUGAUGUGACACACAGAAACUCACUGUGUAUACUGAAGCAGAAAGAAUACCUUGACAUAAACUUUGUUAUGAUUUAGAUAUGAGGUCUUCCCCAAAAUCUCAUGCAUGAGAAAAUGCAAGAAAGUUUAUAGGUCAAAUGAUUGGGAUAUGAGAUUCUUAAUAUAAUCAGUGCAUUAGUCUUCUAAUAGGGAUUAGCUGGGUAGUAAUUAUAGGCAUUUAGGAUGUGACUAGAGAAGGUGGGACAAUGAGGGCAUGAUUUUGGAAUUUAUAUUUUGUCUGUUCUAAGGAAAGCUCUCUCUCCCCCUCUUCCUUGUGAUUAUGUCCUGAAGCAAUUUCUUGUACUACAUCUUUUUAUUAUGAUCUUCUGGCAUACCUUGUGCAUAGAGUAAUAGAACAAGCUGUCUAUGGACUGAGGCCUCUGAAACCAUGAGCACCAAAUAAACUUCCUCCUCUGAAAAUUUUCUUAUCAGGUCUUUUGGUUGCAGCACUAAACAGCUGACUAAAACAUACAGUUAUUACUGUAUUACUCAAUAGAAUCCAAAUAUAUUUCCCUCAGUACCUAACACUGAGGGAAAAUAUCUGAGAAUUUUACAUCUUCAUGAAAGAGUAUGGGAACCCCAGUCAAGAGUAUAUGUUUCUGACCUUGCAGAACAAGUUUCUCUAAUGUAUCACAGAAACCAUUCUUAAUGUCAUAUGGGUUUUUCUAAGGUGGGAUCUCAGGAUGGUGAAGAUGGCCAGAAUUUACCAGGGAAUACAUUUUCUGUAGCUGAGUGCUUGUUAUCUUUGAUAUAUCUAAAUACUGGGGAGAAUGGAAAUACCAUGUUAGAAAGAAAAAGAACUUAGGAUUUUGAAGGCGUUAAAGGAUUUUAGGAGUUGCAGGCAGAAGCUCUACCUCCCUAAGGCCCACAUAUGUUAAAACCUAGCUGGAUUGGAGGAAAACUUUUCUGGCCAGAGUAAGAGAAUAUUAAUUGGACCAAGCAAGAAAGGUAGGGGUCACUGGAAUUAUACUACACUUAUAGAAGUGCCACACAAACUAGGAAAUCAUGAGGAAAAUUGUCAGCAUGUACAGUGGGGGCAUCACAACAAAAGGUUGCCAUGAAAGCCUGAUGCCAUAUCUGAGACGUCCUGGUGGGAGAAUUUACCUGAUUUAAAAAAAAAAAAAAGACUUCUUUUCACGUAUGGCUUUCCCCAGAAGAGGGAAAUAAUAUAAACACAUAUUUGAAGCCCUGUCUUCAGAAUGGAAACACACAAAAGGAAGAUUGUGCCACUUGGGCAGAAAACAUUGUAGUAAUAUCUAGUGUGUCUUGGGUCCUCAAAAUCAAUGUUUUUGGCUUUAGGUUUAAGUGAAUCUACAAAUGCUUGGUGAGCUCUUAUGAAUAUCUCCAUAUAAAAACUUAUAGAUGCCAAAAUCCUUAAUAAAACUUUAGAAAAACCACAUUAAAAAACAUAUGAAGAAGAUGAUACACCAAGAUUAGGUAGGCUUCAUUCCAGGAUGCAAGGCUGGUUCAACAUACACAAAUCAAUAAAUGUAAUUCACCACCUAAGAGAAUUAAGAACAAAAUCAUCUCAAUGGAUGCAGAAAUGACCUUUCAUAAAAUACAGCACUCAAGCAUGUUAAAAACACUGGAAAGGGCCUGGGUUGUAUGUCAGUGGUAGAGCACUUGUCUAGCAAGUGUGAGGCACUGGGUUUGCUUCUCAGCACUACAUAUAAAUAAAUAAAAUGAAGGUCCAUCAACAACUAAUAAAAAUAUAAAAAUAAAUGAACACUGGAGAAAGUAGGGAUAUAAAGGAGUUACCUCAACAUUAUAAAGGAAAUAUAUGAAAAACUCAUAGCCAACAUCAUAUUAAAUGAAGGAAUAUUGAAAGCUAUUCCUCUAAAAUUAGAAACAAAAGAAGAAUAUUGACCCUCACCAAUUUUAUUCAAUAUAGUUUCUGAAACUCUAGCCAGGACUAUCAGGCUAGAGAAGAAAAUUAAAUGGAGAAAAAUCAGAGAAGUAGUCAUUAAACUAUCAUUGUUUGCUGGUAACAGAAUCUUAUAUAUAGAAAACCCCCAAAAUUCCACCAAAAGACUUCUAGAGAUGAUUAAAGAAUUUAAGAAAUAGCAGGGUACAAGAAAAAAGGCUCAUUAAAUUAAUAGCUUCUUUAUAAACAGCAAUUCAGCAGAGAAGAAAUCAUGAAAACCAUCAUUUGUAAAAAAACGUCAAGAAAAAAAUAAAAUACCUGGGACUUAAUCUACCCAAGGAAGUAAAAAAAAAAACUAUACAACAAAAAUCACUUAUCACUGAAUAAAAAGAUUAAAAAAGGCCUCAGAAAAUUAAAAGACCUCCAUGUUCUUAGGCAGAAUUAAUAAUGUCAAAAUAGCCAUACUACCAAAGCAAUAUACACAUUCAAUGCAAUCCCCAUCAAAAUACAAUGAAAAGCUUCAAAGAAUUAGGGGGAAAAAUGUCCUACACUUUGUUUGGAAGAAUAAAUGAUCCAAAUCAAUUCUGAGCAAGAAAAGUGAUUCAGGAGGCAUCACAGUAUCUUACUGCAAAUUAUACUGCAGAGCUAUAUUAGCCACAACAUCAUGGUACUGGCAUCAAAGUAGACAUAAAGCUCCUUAAAAAUGCCUGAAUUCUCAUUAGAUACAAACAUUACUUUGCUGUCAAAAGAAGUACUUUCUUUGGUUAGGAUUUUGUUUUCGUUCUUCAAAAAUAAUCUGUUAGCUCCUACCUUUUUCUUAUGUGUCUUGUCCUUUCAAUUACAUCUUGAACAAUCUUUUCAUAAAUUAUUUGGGGGAGAUCAAAAUUCAUGAAGAGAUUUCCCCCAUCCCUAGUAGAUGUGGGAAAGUAUGAAGACUUGGAGCCCAAGAGGCAAUAGGAGGGUAUCUUAGCAGAGAGAGUCAGCUUGCUUCAGAGCCCAUGCAGAAAAGGUGAGUAGAAACAGGGGGACCAGUAGGGAGUGAGGAGGGGAGGGAAAAUAGAAGAAUUGGGAAAUAAGGUUGACCAGAUUAUGCCGUAUGCAUGUAUGAAGACAUCACAAGGCAUUCUAAUUUUAUAUGUAAAUAUAAUGCACCAUCUAAAACAUGAAUGAAUAGAUGUGUAAAAGUGUUCUUUUUUCUCCACAUUCUCUCUAGCCUUUAUUAUUAUUUGUAUUAUUGAUGAUUCUCAUUAUAACUAGAGUGAGAUGAAAUAUCAAUAUAGUUUUGAUUUGCAUUCACCUAAUUGCUAAGGAUGUUGAAUAUUUUUUUCAUAUAUUUACUUAUUGAAUUUCUUCUUUAGAGAAAUGUCUGUUUAGCUUUUUUGGCUAUUUAUUAUGUUGCUUUUUUGGUGUUAAGUUUUUUGAGUUCUUUAUAUAUUCUGAAUAUUAAUUUAUAUAUAUAAUUUCUUAUUUUUAAUUAAUUUUUAAUUAAAAUAUAUAUUUUAGAGGAUUAGCUGAAAAAAUUCCCCCUACCCCCACUUUUUAGACUUUCCCCUUCACUCUUGUUUCCUUUGCUAUGCAGAAGAUUUUCAAUUUGAUGUUAUACAAUAAGUAAUUCUUGAUUUUAUUUCUUGAGCUUAGAGGUCUAGUUAAGAAAGUCAGGUUAAAAGGACAUAAUCAGAUCAUUUUAUCCAAAUAUUAUAUUUUACCCAAAUUAUGUUUAUAUCCAAUGAAAGAACUCAAUCCACAGCAGGUGAUCUUCUCACCUGGGACCCCACUGACAUUCACAGAGGCACUUCAUUUCUGCCCUGAACAGAUUACCCCUUGGCAGUGGGGUCUGGGAGUUUAGAUCCAGUUAAACAUUCUACUCCUAUUCUGUUUUCUUUCAGGACUGAUUUAAUGACUGUUUUGAACACUUAAAUCAUCUUUACUGUCCUUGAACAUAUCACAUUUAAUGAAAGACAAGAUCAACAAGGCAGAAAAAGAUCAGUAAAAAUAAUACUGAAAACAGGAGGACCUUGAAAUUUAAGUCACCGAGAGAAGAGAAAGAAAAUAAAACACAGUAAAAGUGGUUCAAAGGGGCCAAUUUCUUGGUGAAAAUUGAAAGAAAAGUUCAUGGAGAGGUUCUUAUUGAAAAAACUGACUAUCAGUCACAUGAAAGUUGAAGAGGGAUGAUUAGGAACUGGGAAUAGGGAAGGAGAAAGGGAAGGCAGGAGAAGAAAAAGACAGAAGGCUGGACAAGAUCCAUGUACCACACACGCCUGUGUGGGAAGGUCACAGAGAAAACCCAUUCAUAUGUACAAUUCAUAUGUGCUCACAGUUGCAUAAUAAAAGGGAAAAAACAUCUUUAAAAAAAACAACACUGCUAUAUUCAAAUUAAUCUUGUUUCAUCAACUAAAACCAGUUCAGCAGACACCUCUGAUGCCUGAUGGUUAUGGAGAGGAGAAAUAAGGGGCCCGGGUACUAGCAGUCCCUCCUGCUUCUGAUCAUCUCUGCAACAGCAAUAAUCUGAUCUGACUUGAAUGCAAAUGUACUGAAGCCAUCUGAGGUGCACUUUCUCAAUUUCCUCAUCAUUUCCUCCAAAGUUACAUAGCUCACUUUUUUCUUUCCUUUCUCCUCUAUCAUCAACAAUAUAUUUGUGUGUGUGUGUGUAUUUUGUACCAAGGAUUGAACACAGGGGCAUUCAAACACUGAGCCACUUCCCCACAACUAUUUAUAUUUUAUUCAGAGACAGGUUUCACUAAGUUGCUUAGAGCCUCGCCAAAUUGCUGAGGCUGGCUUGGAACUCGCCAUCCUCCUACCUCAGCCUUCCAACCUGCUGAGAUUACAGGCAUGCACCACCACCACACCCACCUAACAAUCCAUAUUAUUUUCAAAAGUAAUUUCUCAUUUAUGGCUUGUUCCCACCAGCUCUUUCCUCUUUACUCAGCAGUAAUAUCUUAGAUAUAAUUUCUAUUUCUUCAUCUCUUUGCUCCUUCUCAUCUGACUAGAUAACAAGCACAGAAAUAAAAACAGAAAGUAUGCUUUCCCUUGAUCCUGUCCUGUCUUCAAUUACUAUCCAAUGGCUCUUCAUCCAGACUUCUCUAAAGGGAAGUCUAUAGACUCUGGCUCCUCAGUGCAGUUUGAAGAUCAGCACUGGCUUCACCUGAGAACUUACUGGAAAUGCAGAAUGGCAGACCUGCUGAACCAGAAUGCAUGUUCUUGGCAUGGUCUACAACAGCUGAUUCAUUAAAGCUUCAGAGGUGCUGGUCUAUGAUGGGUCUGCUUCCAAUUCCUUUAUCUUACCUUUCUGGAAUCUGGUCUCAAGCUCCUCCCUAUUAUAUUCCCCCAGAUUGAAACUACAAAAGAAGUCCAAAACUUGCUAAUGCACUUUUUUCUUGUGGUCACUCAAUGGCUUUCCUGAUUUCUCCCUAACUGGUUCCACUAUUCUUUCCAAUUUUCUUUUAUUUUGGCCAAUAUAAUAACAUCCUAUGUAAUAGCAACAUUUUAUAGGAAAGUCCAUUCCUAUUGACACUGCCUCCUCCCAAGCUUAAUAACAACAGUGGGAUAGCUUUCCUCUAACUCCUUGAGUUAACAUUACCGCUAACCAGCUG